This 69-nucleotide transfer RNA is filed under the name Marmota monax (woodchuck). Its description in RNAcentral is "tRNA.Ser". The record is from RNAcentral. Lineage: Eukaryota; Metazoa; Chordata; Mammalia; Rodentia; Sciuridae.
GGGAUGUGGCUCAGUGGUGGAGUGCUUGCCUUGAAUGCUUGAAACCUUGGGUUCAAUCCUCAGUACCCA